GUAGGUGGCAAGCGCUGUCCGGAAUUAUUGGGCGUAAAGCGCGCGCAGGCGGUUCUUUAAGUCUGAUGUGAAAGCCCACGGCUCAACCGUGGAGGGUCAUUGGAAACUGGAGAACUUGAGUACAGAAGAGGAAAGCGGAAUUCCACGUGUAGCGGUGAAAUGCGUAGAGAUGUGGAGGAACACCAGUGGCGAAGGCGGCUUUCUGGUCUGUAACUGACGCUGAGGCGCGAAAGCGUGGGGAGCAAACAGGAUUAGAUACCCUGGUAGUCCACGCCGUAAACGAUGAGUGCUAAGUGUUAGGGGGGUUUUCCGCCCCCCUUAGUGCUGCAGCUAACGCAUUAAGCACUCCGCCUGGGAGUACGGCCGCAAGGCUG
This 374-nucleotide ribosomal RNA is filed under the name uncultured organism. RNAcentral's name for it is "partial 16S ribosomal RNA". It matches the Rfam family "Bacterial small subunit ribosomal RNA", at positions 527 to 896 of the family's 1533-position model. The record is from RNAcentral.